UACGUAGGGUGCAAGCGUUGCUCGGAAUCAUUGGGCGUAAAGAGCGUGUAGGUGGCUAGGUAAGUCGGUUGUGAAAUCCCUGGGCUUAACCGAGGAAGUGCAUCCGAAACUACCUGGCUAGAGGACGGCAGAGGGAGGUGGAAUUCCUAGUGUAGAGGUGAAAUUCGUAGAUACUAGGAGGAAUAUCGGCGGCGAAGGCGGCCUCCUGGACCGUUCCUGACACUGAGACGCGAAAGCGUGGGGAGCAAACAGG
Molecule: ribosomal RNA, 253 nt
Filed under: uncultured bacterium
Lineage: Bacteria
Description: partial 16S ribosomal RNA
Rfam family: Bacterial small subunit ribosomal RNA
Source: RNAcentral